RNAcentral lists this ribosomal RNA (465 nucleotides) under uncultured bacterium. RNAcentral's name for it is "partial 16S ribosomal RNA". It matches the Rfam family "Bacterial small subunit ribosomal RNA", at positions 338 to 795 of the family's 1533-position model. The record is from RNAcentral.
CCUACGGGAGGCAGCAGUGGGGAAUAUUGCGCAAUGGGCGAAAGCCUGAUGCAGCGACGCCGCGUGAGGGAUGAAGGUCUUCGGAUCGUAAACCUCUGUCAGCAGGGAAGAACGGUCACUGUGCUAAUCAGCAGUGAAUUGACGGUACCUGCAAAGGAAGCACCGGCUAACUCCGUGCCAGCAGCCGCGGUAAUACGGAGGGUGCGAGCGUUAAGCGGAAUUACUGGGCGUAAAGCGCUCGUAGGCGGUAUGUCAAGUCAAGGGUGAAAUCCCCGCGUUGAACGUGGGAACUGACUUUGAAGCUGGCAAACUGGAGUGUGUGAGAGGAUAGUGGAAUUCCAGGUGUAGGAGUGAAAUCCGUAGAUAUCUGGAGGAAAAUCAGUGGCGAAGGCGACUAUCUGACACAUAACUGACGCUGAGGAGCGAAAGCGUGGGUAGCAAACAGGAUUAGAUACCCCUGUAGUC